UAUGAAGUGCCAGAGUUGUAUGGGACGUCUUGAUAAGACGUAGACGUAUUUAAAUACCUUCAUAU
This 65-nucleotide transfer RNA is filed under the name Polycarpa mytiligera. Its description in RNAcentral is "transfer RNA-Ile". The record is from RNAcentral. Lineage: Eukaryota; Metazoa; Chordata; Ascidiacea; Stolidobranchia; Styelidae.